GCGCUCAGUUUGGCAGCACAUACACUAAAAUUGGAAUGAUACAAAGAAGAUUAGCAUGGCCCCUGUGCAAGGAUGACAUGCAAAUUUGCAAAGUGUUCCAUAUUUUU
Otolemur garnettii (small-eared galago) is the source of this 107-nucleotide small nuclear RNA. The record is from Ensembl. NCBI's taxonomy places the organism in Eukaryota, Metazoa, Chordata, Mammalia, Primates, Galagidae.